This 2940-nucleotide ribosomal RNA is filed under the name Priestia megaterium. Its description in RNAcentral is "bacterial LSU rRNA". It matches the Rfam family "Bacterial large subunit ribosomal RNA". Lineage: Bacteria; Bacillati; Bacillota; Bacilli; Caryophanales; Bacillaceae. The record is from RNAcentral.
AUGGUUAAGUUAGAAAGGGCGCACGGUGAAUGCCUUGGCACUAGGAGCCGAUGAAGGACGGGACUAACACCGAUAUGCUUCGGGGAGCUGUAAGUGAGCUUUGAUCCGGAGAUUUCCGAAUGGGGAAACCCACUGUUCGUAAUGGAACAGUAUCUUUAUCUGAAUACAUAGGAUAUUGAAGGCAGACCCGGGGAACUGAAACAUCUAAGUACCCGGAGGAAGAGAAAGCAAAUGCGAUUUCCUGAGUAGCGGCGAGCGAAACGGAAUUAGCCCAAACCAAGAGGCUUGCCUCUUGGGGUUGUAGGACACUCUAUACGGAGUUACAAAGGAACGAAGUAAAUGAAGCGACCUGGAAAGGUCCGUCGAAGAAGGUAACAACCCUGUAGUUGAAACUUCGUUCCCUCUUGAGUGGAUCCUGAGUACGGCGGAACACGUGAAAUUCCGUCGGAAGCUGGGAGGACCAUCUCCCAAGGCUAAAUACUACCUAGUGACCGAUAGUGAACCAGUACCGUGAGGGAAAGGUGAAAAGCACCCCGGAAGGGGAGUGAAAGAGAUCCUGAAACCGUGUGCCUACAAGUAGUCAGAGCCCGUUAACGGGUGAUGGCGUGCCUUUUGUAGAAUGAACCGGCGAGUUACGAUCCCAUGCAAGGUUAAGCUGAUAAGGCGGAGCCGUAGCGAAAGCGAGUCUGAAUAGGGCGUUUAGUAUGUGGUUGUAGACCCGAAACCAGGUGAUCUACCCAUGUCCAGGGUGAAGUUCAGGUAACACUGAAUGGAGGCCCGAACCCACGCACGUUGAAAAGUGCGGGGAUGAGGUGUGGGUAGCGGAGAAAUUCCAAUCGAACCUGGAGAUAGCUGGUUCUCUCCGAAAUAGCUUUAGGGCUAGCCUCAUGUUGUGAGAGUCUUGGAGGUAGAGCACUGAUUGGACUAGGGGCCCCCAACGGGUUACCGAAUUCAGUCAAACUCCGAAUGCCAAAGACUUAUCCAUGGGAGUCAGACUGCGAGUGAUAAGAUCCGUAGUCAAAAGGGAAACAGCCCAGACCACCAGCUAAGGUCCCCAAGUAUACGUUAAGUGGAAAAGGAUGUGGAGUUGCUUAGACAACCAGGAUGUUGGCUUAGAAGCAGCCACCAUUUAAAGAGUGCGUAAUAGCUCACUGGUCGAGUGACUCUGCGCCGAAAAUGUACCGGGGCUAAACGUAUCACCGAAGCUGUGGAUUGACAUCUUUGAUGUCAGUGGUAGGAGAGCGUUCUAAGUGCUGUGAAGUCAGACCGUAAGGACUGGUGGAGCGCUUAGAAGUGAGAAUGCCGGUAUGAGUAGCGAAAGACAAGUGAGAAUCUUGUCCACCGAAUGCCUAAGGUUUCCUGAGGAAGGCUCGUCCGCUCAGGGUUAGUCGGGACCUAAGCCGAGGCUGAAAAGCGUAGGCGAUGGCCAACAGGUUGAUAUUCCUGUACCACCUCCCCGCCGUUUGAGUAAUGGGGGGACGCAGUAGGAUAGGGUAAGCGCGCUGCUGGAUAUGCGCGUUCAAGCAGUUAGGCUGAUGAGUAGGCAAAUCCGCUCAUCAUGAAGGCUGAGCUGUGAUGACGAGGGAAUUAUAGUACCGAAGUUCCUGAUUCCACACUGCCAAGAAAAGCCUCUAGCGAGGCGGGAGGUGCCCGUACCGCAAACCGACACAGGUAGGCGAGGAGAGAAUCCUAAGGUGAUCGAGAGAACUCUCGUUAAGGAACUCGGCAAAAUGACCCCGUAACUUCGGGAGAAGGGGUGCUCUGGUAGGGUGUAUAGCCCGAGAGAGCCGCAGUGAAUAGGCCCAGGCGACUGUUUAGCAAAAACACAGGUCUCUGCGAAGCCGCAAGGCGAAGUAUAGGGGCUGACGCCUGCCCGGUGCUGGAAGGUUAAGAGGAGGGGUUAUCCUUUGGGAGAAGCUCUGAAUCGAAGCCCCAGUAAACGGCGGCCGUAACUAUAACGGUCCUAAGGUAGCGAAAUUCCUUGUCGGGUAAGUUCCGACCCGCACGAAAGGCGUAACGAUCUGGGCACUGUCUCAACGAGAGACUCGGUGAAAUUAUAGUACCUGUGAAGAUGCAGGUUACCCGCGACAGGACGGAAAGACCCCGUGGAGCUUUACUGUAGCCUGAUAUUGAAUUUUGGUACAGCUUGUACAGGAUAGGUAGGAGCCUGAGAAGCCGGAGCGCUAGCUUCGGUGGAGGCGUCGGUGGGAUACUACCCUGGCUGUAUUGAAAUUCUAACCCGCGGCCCUGAUCGGGCCGGGAGACAGUGUCAGGUGGGCAGUUUGACUGGGGCGGUCGCCUCCUAAAAUGUAACGGAGGCGCCCAAAGGUUCCCUCAGAAUGGUUGGAAAUCAUUCGUAGAGUGUAAAGGCACAAGGGAGCUUGACUGCGAGACCUACAAGUCGAGCAGGGACGAAAGUCGGGCUUAGUGAUCCGGUGGUUCCGCAUGGAAGGGCCAUCGCUCAACGGAUAAAAGCUACCCCGGGGAUAACAGGCUUAUCUCCCCCAAGAGUCCACAUCGACGGGGAGGUUUGGCACCUCGAUGUCGGCUCAUCGCAUCCUGGGGCUGUAGUCGGUCCCAAGGGUUGGGCUGUUCGCCCAUUAAAGCGGUACGCGAGCUGGGUUCAGAACGUCGUGAGACAGUUCGGUCCCUAUCCGUCGUGGGCGUAGGAAAUUUGAGAGGAGCUGUCCUUAGUACGAGAGGACCGGGAUGGACACACCGCUGGUGUACCAGUUGUCUUGCCAAAGGCAUCGCUGGGUAGCUAUGUGUGGACGGGAUAAGUGCUGAAAGCAUCUAAGCAUGAAGCCCCCCUCAAGAUGAGAUUUCCCAUAGCGCAAGCUAGUAAGAUCCCUGAAAGAUGAUCAGGUUGAUAGGUCAGAGGUGGAAGCGUGGCGACAUGUGUAGCUGACUGAUACUAAUCGAUCGAGGACUUAACCAAAC